This 267-nucleotide long non-coding RNA is filed under the name Mytilus galloprovincialis (Mediterranean mussel). Lineage: Eukaryota; Metazoa; Mollusca; Bivalvia; Mytilida; Mytilidae. The record is from RNAcentral.
UAUUACCAAUGCUAUUUAAACUGAUCGGGCGGAGCUUACAUUUUAAUUUGCAUAGGGACAGUCUAUUUGAAGAUGUGUGUGAUAAGGAUGAUUACCGUUAUAAUUAUUACUGAUUUCUAAUCACCUAUCAGUAUCAUCAAAGAAAUUUACAAAACAAUGACCGGACACUUCAUUGAUGAGUUUAUCCGAAAACACCUAUCUAUAGAUGGACUGGUUUAUUAUGAGCGAACUGGUUAAACUCCGCCCAGUCAAGUGAAAUAAAUCGAG